GGCGUGGUGGCAGAGCGGUUGAAUGCACCGGUCUUGAAAACCGGCGGGCCCGGAAGGGUCUCGUGAGUUCGAAUCUCACCCACGCCG
RNAcentral lists this transfer RNA (87 nucleotides) under Gemmatimonadota bacterium. Its description in RNAcentral is "Gemmatimonadetes bacterium (activated sludge metagenome) tRNA-Ser". It matches the Rfam family "tRNA". Rfam says of the family: Transfer RNA (tRNA) molecules are approximately 80 nucleotides in length. Their secondary structure includes four short double-helical elements and three loops (D, anti-codon, and T loops). RNAcentral also lists the same sequence under 1 other name. Lineage: Bacteria; Pseudomonadati; Gemmatimonadota. The record is from RNAcentral.